ACUCCUGCGGGAGGCAGCAGUGGGGAAUAUUGGACAAUGGGCGCAAGCCUGAUCCAGCCAUGCCGCGUGAGUGAUGAAGGCCCUAGGGUUGUAAAGCUCUUUCACCGGAGAAGAUAAUGACGGUAUCCGGAGAAGAAGCCCCGGCUAACUUCGUGCCAGCAGCCGCGGUAAUACGAAGGGGGCUAGCGUUGUUCGGAAUUACUGGGCGUAAAGCGCACGUAGGCGGAUCGAUCAGUCAGGGGUGAAAUCCCAGGGCUCAACCCUGGAACUGCCUUUGAUACUGUCGAUCUGGAGUAUGGAAGAGGUGAGUGGAAUUCCGAGUGUAGAGGUGAAAUUCGUAGAUAUUCGGAGGAACACCAGUGGCGAAGGCGGCUCACUGGUCCAUUACUGACGCUGAGGUGCGAAAGCGUGGGGAGCAAACAGGAUUAGAUACCCUUGUAGUCCCA
RNAcentral lists this ribosomal RNA (446 nucleotides) under uncultured organism. RNAcentral's name for it is "partial 16S ribosomal RNA". It matches the Rfam family "Bacterial small subunit ribosomal RNA", at positions 335 to 797 of the family's 1533-position model. The record is from RNAcentral.